UUGGUCAUUUAGAGGAAGUAAAAGUCGUAACAAGGUCUCCGUUGGUGAACCAGCGGAGGGAUCAUUACCGAGUUUACAACUCCCAAACCCAAUGUGAACCAUACCAAACUGUUGCCUCGGCGGGGUCACGCCCCGGGUGCGUCGCAGCCCCGGAACCAGGCGCCCGCCGGAGGGACCAACCAAACUCUUUCUGUAGUCCCCUCGCGGACGUUAUUUCUUACAGCUCUGAGCAAAAAUUCAAAAUGAAUCAAAACUUUCAACAACGGAUCUCUUGGUUCUGGCAUCGA
RNAcentral lists this ribosomal RNA (287 nucleotides) under uncultured Ascomycota. Its description in RNAcentral is "partial 18S ribosomal RNA". The stretch from base 1 to 67 matches the Rfam family "Eukaryotic small subunit ribosomal RNA", at positions 1765 to 1831 of the family's 1831-position model. Lineage: Eukaryota; Fungi; Ascomycota. The record is from RNAcentral.